UGGGGAAUAUUGGACAAUGGGCGCAAGCCUGAUCCAGCAAUGCCGCGUGAGUGAUGAAGGCCUUCGGGUUGUAAAGCUCUUUCGCCUGCGAGGAUGAUGACGGUAGCAGGAGAAGAAGCCCCGGCUAACUUCGUGCCAGCAGCCGCGGUAAUACGAAGGGGGCGAGCGUUGUUCGGAUUUACUGGGCGUGAAGGGCGCGUAGGCGGCGAUGUAAGUCAGGCGUGAAAGCCCCGGGCUCAACCUGGGAGGUGCGCUUGGGACUAGAUUGCUGGAGUUCGGGAGAGGAGCGUGGAAUUCCCAGUGUAGAGGUGAAAUUCGUAGAUAUUGGGAAGAACACCGGUGGCGAAGGCGGCGCUCUGGACCGAUACUGACGCUGAGGCGCGAAAGCGUGGGGAGCAAACAGGAUUAGAUACCCUGGUAGUCCACGCUGUAAACGAUGUGUGCUAGACGUUGGGGAGCCUAGCUCUUCGGUGUCGCCGCUAACGCUGUAAGCACACCGCCUGGGGAGUACGGCCGCAAGGUUA
This 524-nucleotide ribosomal RNA is filed under the name uncultured bacterium. RNAcentral describes it as "bacterial SSU rRNA". It matches the Rfam family "Bacterial small subunit ribosomal RNA", at positions 355 to 896 of the family's 1533-position model. The record is from RNAcentral.